This 253-nucleotide ribosomal RNA is filed under the name uncultured bacterium. RNAcentral describes it as "partial 16S ribosomal RNA". It matches the Rfam family "Bacterial small subunit ribosomal RNA", at positions 524 to 776 of the family's 1533-position model. The record is from RNAcentral.
UACGUAGGGUGCGAGCGUUGUCCGGAAUUAUUGGGCGUAAAGGGCUCGUAGGCGGUUUGUCGCGUCGGGAGUGAAAAUCCAGGGCUUAACUCUGGACUGGCUUUCGAUACGGGCAGACUAGAGGUAUGCAGGGGAGAACGGAAUUCCUGGUGUAGCGGUGAAAUGCGCAGAUAUCAGGAGGAACACCGGUGGCGAAGGCGGCAUCCUGGACCAAUACUGACGCUGAGGAGCGAAGGCCAGGGGAGCAAACGGG